This 253-nucleotide ribosomal RNA is filed under the name uncultured bacterium. Its description in RNAcentral is "partial 16S ribosomal RNA". It matches the Rfam family "Bacterial small subunit ribosomal RNA", at positions 524 to 776 of the family's 1533-position model. The record is from RNAcentral.
UACGUAGGGUGCGAGCGUUGUCCGGAAUUAUUGGGCGUAAAGGGCUCGUAGGCGGUUUGUCGCGUCGGGAGUGAAAAUCCAGGGCUUAACUCUGGACUGGCUUCCGAUACGGGCAGACUAGAGGUAUGCAGGGGAGAACGGAAUUCCUGGUGUAGCGGUGAAAUGCGCAGAUAUCAGGAGGAACACCGGUGGCGAAGGCGGUUCUCUGGGCAUUACCUGACGCUGGGGAGCGAAAGUGUGGGGAGCGAACAGG